Molecule: ribosomal RNA, 482 nt
Filed under: uncultured bacterium
Lineage: Bacteria
Description: partial 16S ribosomal RNA
Rfam family: Bacterial small subunit ribosomal RNA
Source: RNAcentral
AGUGAACGUUGGCGGCGUGGAUUAGGCAUGCAAGUCGAGCGAGAACCGUAGCAAUACGGGGACAGCGGCGAAAGGGACAGUAAUGUGUAGGUACCUACCCCGAGGUCUGGGAUAGCCGCGGGAAACUGCAGGUAAUACCGGAUAAUGUCUUCGGACCAAAGGUGUGAUUCCACCUUGGGAGGGGCCUGCAUCCUAUUAGCUAGUUGGCGGGGUAAUGGCCCACCAAGGCGACGAUGGGUAGGGGGUGUGAGAGCACGACCCGCGUGAUUGGGACUGAGACACUGCCCAGACACCUACGGGUGGCUGCAGUCGAGGAUCUUCGGCAAUGGGCGAAAGCCUGACCGAGCGACGCCGCGUGCGGGAUGAAGGCCUUCGGGUUGUAAACCGCUGUCGUAGAGGAGGAAAUGCAGGUGGGUUCUCCCAUCUGUUUGACCUAUUCUAGGAGGAAGUACGGGCUAAGUUCGUGCCAGCAGCCGCCGUAA